This 1588-nucleotide long non-coding RNA is filed under the name Dromaius novaehollandiae (emu). Its description in RNAcentral is "lncRNA (ENSDNVG00000003810.1)". The record is from RNAcentral. Lineage: Eukaryota; Metazoa; Chordata; Aves; Casuariiformes; Dromaiidae.
UGGCACCUAGUCUUCAUCCUAUUCCAAAGACAAAUGUUGCUAGUUCUAAAGAGCCUUUUUGAUCCCUGCAUCCUAAAUAACCUUGAGCAAUUGGUAGCCAAAGAAAGACACUAUAGUUCCAAAACCUUAUUUCAACAUAUACACUUGUGAGAAAUCGCUACAAACACAAUAGCAGAAGCUAGAAGCUUGUAGGAACAGUUGCUUUGAAUGGAGUGCAUUGCAAAGGGCUCUCAAAUACUAAAAAUAAAAACAAUCAAAAAAAAAUCAGGUCAUUCUUUUCUCUAUUUCUUGAAUAAUCACAGGUGUCCUGCACCAGAGUUAGAGCAGCACUGUGCUCUCAAGGAUCUCAGCACUGUUGGGUCACUGGCCAGGAAAUUCCAGUACUGAUCUUACUUCAGCAGGAACAACUGGAGGAACCCUGUGAAAUCUGGGAACUCUAAAGUAGGAAUGUAUACAAGACAAAGAAUGUGGUAGGGUUAUCUUGAACCACACCUGGAAAAACAUCACAUCCUGAAAGAAUCUUAGUCUGCAUCUGAAGUAAAUAAACCAUGUUAUCUUGAUUAGCAAAUAUGCAUGAAGACUAUUAACUACCUUGAUGGGUGGUCUACAAAUAAACAGGAUACAAGUUAAAGAGAAAAGCAGCCACUGUGAGAAAAUCAGCCUUUCUCAGAGCAGAGAUGGAAUCACUCCUAGACUGCCUCUAUGAAACUGCAAGAAACACCGCUUGGCUUCCUGUCUUCCUCAGAACUGAUCCCUCUGGUAUCCUGAUCGGUACAGCUAUGCAUAUCACCAGAGCUAAGAAUGUGCUUUCUAGAUUAAAAGUGUGUCCAGCUCAAGCUGAAGGAAGAGAAAGCAAAGGCUCUCAGGGAGCAAAACAAUGAAGAAUGUCAGGCCUCAAUUUAAGCAAAAGGAACGUUCUCAUGGGCACCUCAAUCGUGGCUGCCAAGGCAAGACUUUCAAAAUUCCUGUCACUGGUUCCAGAGCAAGAUUAUGAACAUGCUUAUCACGUGGAUUUUUUUCCCCCCUGGACAUGCUUGGCAAAGUGAUGCCAAUCUCUCAGAAUUUACUGGAGCAGAGGAUGGAUUAGUAGGUAGACUGGUUUAAACAUCUGGGACUAGGUUUUAUACAAGCAUUAGUUAAGUUUUACUAUUAUUAUUUUUUCCCCCAGGGAAAACAAUGUAUAUAUGAGAAACUGAACCCUGGAAAGAUUUUAAUCUCCUGUACGCAAGAAACGAUGAGAUCAGGGUUGUUACAAGAGCACAUGUUGGAUCUAUGUAUUCCAUUAAAAGGCUAGAUUUGAAUACCAUUCUUGGAAUCCUGUUUUAGGGCAGUAAAAGAAAUAAGUUCUGCCAAAUACGUGCUUGAGAGCUUUGUAGAAGACUAUUAAGGAGAGGGAUUUAAAAGRUGUUUUAUAGUGUCAAAGAUGUGGAGACCUAGGACAUCAGCUUACCUAGUCUAUAUUAAGCUAUUAAAAACAGAUCUGAUGGCAAGUACUACAAGACCAGCCCUCUUAUUUCCAACCUUGUCCACUUCACUGAAGUGACUGGGAAGCUAUCUUACAUCUGUGUAAAGCAGAAGGCUCGAAGAU